GAUUUUCAGUUCUAAAAUUUCCUUUUGGUUCUUGUUUUAUAGUUAUCACUUCUAUGACUUAUCCACACAUAUAGUUUUUUGAUACUUUGAUGCUGGAUUCAAAGGAGGAUUUCUCUUGCAGGUGUCUGCUUAAUCUUUGUUAGGACAAAAUGAUGCCUUCCAAGUUACUUACAUGCUGGACUGGAAAUAUAGAACAAUUUAGAGGGAAAGAGUGGAAGAGAAGACAGUGAAAUGAAAAAGUGAUACAUUUGGACUUGCCUGGUGAUCCAGUGGUUAAGAAUCUGCCUUCCAAUGCAGGGGAUAUGGGUUUCAUCCCUGAUCAAAGAACUAAGAUCCCACAUGUGACUAAGCCUCAACUACUGAGCCCAG
Molecule: long non-coding RNA, 369 nt
Organism: Bos taurus (domestic cattle)
Lineage: Eukaryota; Metazoa; Chordata; Mammalia; Artiodactyla; Bovidae
Source: Ensembl